This 465-nucleotide ribosomal RNA is filed under the name uncultured Klebsiella sp. RNAcentral describes it as "bacterial SSU rRNA". It matches the Rfam family "Bacterial small subunit ribosomal RNA", at positions 338 to 795 of the family's 1533-position model. Lineage: Bacteria; Pseudomonadati; Pseudomonadota; Gammaproteobacteria; Enterobacterales; Enterobacteriaceae. The record is from RNAcentral.
CCUACGGGGGGCUGCAGUGGGGAAUAUUGCACAAUGGGCGCAAGCCUGAUGCAGCCAUGCCGCGUGUGUGAAGAAGGCCUUCGGGUUGUAAAGCACUUUCAGCGGGGAGGAAGGCGUUAAGGUUAAUAACCUUGUCGAUUGACGUUACCCGCAGAAGAAGCACCGGCUAACUCCGUGCCAGCAGCCGCGGUAAUACGGAGGGUGCAAGCGUUAAUCGGAAUUACUGGGCGUAAAGCGCACGCAGGCGGUCUGUCAAGUCGGAUGUGAAAUCCCCGGGCUCAACCUGGGAACUGCAUUCGAAACUGGCAGGCUAGAGUCUUGUAGAGGGGGGUAGAAUUCCCGGUGUAGCGGUGAAACGCGUAGAGAUCUGGAGGAAUACCGGUGGCGAAGGCGGCCCCCUGGACAAAGACUGACGCUCAGGUGCGAAAGCGUGGGGAGCAAACAGGAUUAGAUACCCGAGUAGUC